CCGCCUGAACUUAAGCAUAUCAAUAAACGGAGGAAAAGAAACCAACAGGGGAUUGCCCUAGUAACGGCGAGUGAAGCGGCAACAGCUCAAAUUUGAAAUCUGGCGUCUUUGGCGUCCGAGUUGUAAUUUGCAGAGGGCGCUUUGGCAUUGGCAGCGGUCCAAGUUCCUUGGAACAGGACGUCACAGAGGGUGAGAAUCCCGUACGUGGUCGCUAGCCUUUACCGUGUAAAGCCCCUUCGACGAGUCGAGUUGUUUGGGAAUGCAGCUCUAAAUGGGAGGUAAAUUUCUUCUAAAGCUAAAUACUGGCCAGAGACCGAUAGCGCACAAGUAGAGUGAUCGAAAGAUGAAAAGCACUUUGGAAAGAGAGUUAAAAAGCACGUGAAAUUGUUGAAAGGGAAGCGCUUGCAGCCAGACUUGCCUGUAGUUGCUCAUCUGGGUUUUUACCCAGUGCACUCUUCUAUAGGCAGGCCAGCAUCAGUUUGGGCGGUUGGAUAAAGGUCUCUGUCAUGUACCUCUCUUCGGGGAGAACUUAUAGGGGAGACGACAUGCAACCAGCCUGGACUGAGGUCCGCGCAUCUGCUAGGAUGCUGGCGUAAUGGCUGUAAGCGGCCCGUCUUGAAACACGGACCAAGGAGUCUAACAUCUAUGCGAGUGUUUGGGUGUCAAGCCCGAGCGCGUAAUGAAAGUGAACGGAGGUGGGAACCUUUCGGGGUGCACCAUCGACCGAUCCUGAUGUCUUCGGAUGGAUUUGAGUAAGAGCAUAGCUGUUGGGACCCGAAAGAUGGUGAACUAUGCUUGAAUAGGGUGAAGCCAGAGGAAACUCUGGUGGAGCUCGCAGCGGUUCUGACGUGCAAAUCGAUCGUCAAANUUGGGCAUAGGGGCGAAAGACUAAUCGAA
This 897-nucleotide ribosomal RNA is filed under the name Ascochyta medicaginicola var. medicaginicola. Its description in RNAcentral is "partial 28S large subunit ribosomal RNA". It matches the Rfam family "Eukaryotic large subunit ribosomal RNA", at positions 25 to 939 of the family's 3401-position model. Lineage: Eukaryota; Fungi; Ascomycota; Dothideomycetes; Pleosporales; Didymellaceae. The record is from RNAcentral.